CUACAAUGGGCGCAAGCCUGAUGCUAGCCAUGCCGCGUGUAUGAAGAAGGCCUUCGGGUUGUAAAGUACUUUCAGCAGUGAGGAAGUGGAUAUGUUAAUAGCAUAUUCAUUUGACGUUUAGCUGCAGAAGAAGCACCGGCUAACUCCGUGCCAGCAGCCGCGGUAAUACGGAGGGUGCGAGCGUUAAUCGGAAUUACUGGGCGUAAAAGCGCAUGCAGGUGGUUUGUUAAGUCAGAUGUGAAAGCCCGGGGCUCAACCUCGGAAUUUGCAUUUGAAACUGGCAAACUAGAGUACUGUAGAGGGGGUAGAAUUUCAGGUGUAGCGGUGAAAUGCGUAGAGAUCUGAAGGAAUACCGGUGGCGAAGGCGGCCCCCUGGACAGAUACUGACACUCAGAUGCGAAAGCGUGGGGAGCAAACAGGAUUAGAUACCCUGGUAG
Molecule: ribosomal RNA, 437 nt
Filed under: uncultured bacterium
Lineage: Bacteria
Description: bacterial SSU rRNA
Rfam family: Bacterial small subunit ribosomal RNA
Source: RNAcentral